UUGUCCUACGGGGGGCAGCAGUGGGGAAUAUUGGGCAAUGGGCGCAAGCCUGACCCAGCAACGCCGCGUGAAGGAAGAAGGCUUUCGGGUUGUAAACUUCUUUUCUCAGGGACGAAGCAAGUGACGGUACCUGAGGAAUAAGCCACGGCUAACUACGUGCCAGCAGCCGCGGUAAUACGGAGGUGGCAAGCGUUAUGCGGAUUUACUGGGUGUAAAGGGCGUGUAGGCGGGAAAGGAAGUCAGAUGGGAAAACCAU
Molecule: ribosomal RNA, 256 nt
Filed under: uncultured bacterium
Lineage: Bacteria
Description: partial 16S ribosomal RNA
Rfam family: Bacterial small subunit ribosomal RNA
Source: RNAcentral